This is a long non-coding RNA of Acinonyx jubatus (cheetah), 7288 nucleotides long. RefSeq lists it as uncharacterized. The record is from RefSeq and is a predicted model, not a curated record. Lineage: Eukaryota; Metazoa; Chordata; Mammalia; Carnivora; Felidae. The transcript is spliced from 4 exons.
GAUCAUAGAGUUUGGCGAAACAUUAUAGAGAGGCUAAUGCUUAUGCAUCUAAAUUGUGGUUUCAGGUAGUGGGACUGUAGAGUCCCGCUAAGGGGCGCCAGAGGCGUCAGGAUUGCUGGUGAAUCACAGUACGCCGCUCCUCGACCAGCUUCUACUUCAGACACUUAAACUUCCAAGACAGCUUCCUUUUACGAUAUGCAAAAAUCAAGGAGAAAGGAAUCCAAGCACAAUAAAGGAAGCCAUCAAACCACAAGGGAAGAGAGAAGAAAGAGAAGAAAGGAACAGAAGAACUACAAAAGCAACCAUAAUACAAGUAACAAAAUGGCACUCCCUGUGACCUGGAUCUUUCGUAAGGAAAGGAAGGCCCAUGUCAUGUCACUGAUGCUCCUUCUACAGUGUUGAUCACCAGGCUCAAGACAUGCCUUCCCCAGAUGAGACGGUUAAAUCCAUGCAGCAGGACCACAGGCAUGGAGUGUCCAUGCAAACCUGGUUACUCUUCUUGGAAAAGAUUCUCCUGAGUUCUGUCAGAAGUGCUCACUAGGUGAGAUGUGGGGGCCUCGGGGGCUCUUAACCCACAGAAGACCCGAGUUUCCUUGUACCCCUUUCUCCAUCCUGGUUUCAUGCAGCCCUGCCAUCCCCUCAGCACCUCCCUAUUCCCUGAGCCUGCAGUGGCCCCUGUCUGUCCAUUUUUUUUGCAUGGCCCCACACUGCGCCCAGCAGUGGCACCUUCCCACACCUCCUCAGCACCUUUUCCUCCUGGCCAGUUGAGUUUUCCACUGGGCACACUAGACCACUUCUUAGGGCACUUGAUGAUUUAUUUCCUUUUGAAAUAUGAAGCAAAAAAUUGAAUAGAGUAUGACCUGGUUUAUGUUCAUCUUUAUUUCAAUUCAAUCAUAAGAUUCAUUUUUAACACUUCAUUACUCAGGAGAAGGCCGACGAGGACAAACGUGGCCACAGCCUACAAAGUCAUAGUAGGACCAAGCUUGUAGCUCCCAAAGUUUCCUCAUCCCAGGCCCCCUUCCCUCUUUAAGAUGCGUCUCUUCCCCACUUUUUGGAUUCAGGGGCAAAGUGUAAUUGUUCUUCUCUGACACUGCAGUUCUGGCUGUGAUUGUAGGAACAGUCAACGGGUGGGGGACAAGAAGUUCCUGCACUAAGGCUGACUGGAGGAUGGGGUUCAGCUUGGGAACAAAGGGGCUUCUGAUCCCUGACCUGGACAGAUUCCCCUUCACAGGGGCCCCCCUACAGCCCAGGGAAGCUCCAUGUAGGUCUUGAAAGGAAGCCCAGCUCCUGAAGGUGCAACUCUGAACACUUAACAGGGCCCUAGGGAUUGAAGCGCGCAGGCCCAGAUCCCUCCCCACCCAAACAGGGGGAGUGAGGGGACCCGGCCCUCCAGGCUGUUCUGCCCCCACUCUCUUGUCAGGGACACUGGGCCCCUGGAGCUUGCUCCCCCUUCCUCCUCAGCUUUCCAGCCUUCCCUUGCGGAUCCCCUCCCUGUGCCUGUACCCAGGUGCCCGAUGGGAUGGUCCAGGACAGUCCCUGCACCCUCAGGAGCAACCUCAAGUGUGUCAAUCAAGAGUCCAGUACCUGGCCCAUGGGGAGCCAGUGACCACUGGCCUGAGGUUGCCCACCACCAACUCUGUCUCAGGUUCAUGCUCACCUUAGCUCCCCGACCACAUCCAGGAUGGCAAGCUGGUUCCUCAGGUCUUCAGGGCCCCCAGCUGGGACAGAGAGGUAGUCAGUAUCUUGAAUGAGUGGCAAGAGUCAGGAGGAAAGGGUCGGGGGCUUAUACAGCUUUGGUCAGAGCAGAACCCAACAGAGAUUUUGUGUUUAUUUUCACUUCAUCCCUCCCCCCUUUUUCUCUCCCUUCCCUAAGGGUUCACCAGAGUUGGAAUGCCCCUCCCUGUCACCAGGUCCCAGGGGCUCCUUGUUCAGUGUCUGAAGCCCCAGCCCAUACCAUGUCCUCCCACCAUCCUUGUGGAGAGAGAUGAGGCAGAGAGGGCCCUCCCCUCUGCUAAGGUGAAUGCCCCCUGUCUUCUAGGCUGUGAAGUGGACCCCAAGUGCACAGACAGAGUGAGUUAGUUUCUCCAGGACCCGUUGGCAUGAGACUGUCAGGAUCUGCUUGCUGCCCACAAUAAGGUCCUGGGUGGAUGCAGGCCUCAUCUGUCCUGCACUGACCCUGGCUCUCUAAAGUGGCCUGGGGGCUCUGGCUGGCUGUAUGAGGGCACCGGGCCCAUUGGGACCAGCCCCCUGGCCGGUUGGCCAUGCUGAGCCAUGUCCUUCCUCAUGCUUGUGAAACACCUUCACCCUACAGCCCUGCACUCUGGAGCAUGGAAGGUGUCAGGCAGGGGUGCUGAGCGUCCCUUAGCACAGGUUCAGAGUGUGGUGUCAGCUCUGUGCACAGGUGCCGGUGCAGUCCUGGGACCUCCCUCUCACGAUCCAUGUAGUUUCCCUCCUUUGAGGACCUGUUGCUCCCACAGGCUGUCCUACCCUCUGACUCUUACCACAUUCUGCUUUCUCACUCCAUAACCCAUCUAUCCUCCCAGAUGGGGAAUCAGCCCUGCCUUAGGGCAGGAUUAUCUGUUGACCUUGACUCCCCCAGGGCCUCCUGCUCAGGUGAGGCCCAGGCAGUGUGGCCUGAUUUUCUGCUGAUGGGAUGCCCAUAAGGAAUGCAGAACAGCAGGCUCACCAGCAGGGGGAGCUCAUUAGGUUCCACUACUGGGUCUAGGCUUGACUGCACAUCAUCUGUCCUUUCUGAAAUGUGUCCCAACUCACUGUCUCUGUGGCUUUCACCCAACCUAGGCUGAAACUCAUCUCUGAUGACUUUCCAAACUUGUGUUCUUUAAUUCCUGGAACCUACUCAUGCGGCAGAUGGACCUCCAGGACAAUGAGAUCCCUGCGGCCAGGGCUCUUACUUUAGGCAUGCAGGGUGCCUUGUAUGAAAUGCUGGUGACCUGGCUCAACAAAACCAGGCAGGAUGUUUCAAUCAACACCCUACUGCAGAGAAUCCAGGACUGCCUGGUAGGCCCCAGAAAGUGCAUCUAUGAAGAAGGCGGGACAGGCUCUGCCGUGUCCUGAGUGGAAAGACUCUUUUUAAGAAUCUGAGCAUCCCUUUUUGCCUUUUCUACUUGAAGGGGAAGUAUAAGUGGACACCAGCCUGGAAGAAAGAGCAGAUACUUGAUGAAUACUUGAAGAAAUUCUAAUUCAAAAGCAUACAGCUCUUCACAAGAGACUCUUUUUAAAAUGUUUAUUUAUUUUUGAGACAGAGAGAGAGAAAGCAGGCUAGUGCAUGUGCACCAGCAGGGGAAGAGCAGAGAGAAAGAGAGAGAGAAUCCCAAGCAGGCUCUGCACCAUCAGCACAGAGCCCAGCACAAAGCCCAACUUGGGGCUCUAACCCACGGUCUGUGAGAUCAUGAUCUGAGUCGAAAUUAAGAGUUGGAUGCUUAACCAACUGGACCACCCAGGUGUCCCCACAAGAGACUCUUAAUGAUAGAGAACAAACUAAGGGUUAAUGGAGCGGAGGUGAGUGGAAGAUAGGCUAUAUGGAUGAUGGGUACUAAGGAAUGCACUUGUUGUGAUGAGCACUGGGUGUUGUAUGGAAGUGAUGAAUUAUUGAAUUCUACUCCUGAAACCAAUAUUGUACUGUAUGAUAACUAAAAUUUAAAUUAAAACAAACCAUACAGCUCUUGGAAUAUUCUAGAACUUUUUCAAUGUGCUUGGAAUAAUUUUUAUGAAAUGUUGAGUGUGAUAAGUGAACUGUGGUAAUGUGUACAGUAAGAUUCUAUGUGGAUUAUAGUUAUAGGCAUACCUUAUUCUACCAUGUUUCCCUUUAUUGCACUUCAAAGAUAUUUCAUUUUUUACAAACUGAAGUUUUGUGGCAACCCUGAGUUGAGCAAGUCUAUUGGUACCAGUUUUUCAAUAGCAUUUUCUGACUUUGUAUCUCUGUGUCACAUUUUGAUAACUCUUGCAAUACUUAAAACCUUUUCAUUAUUACUAAUUUUGUUAUAGUGAUCUAUGAUCAGUAAUGUUUGAUGUUAUUACUGUAAUUAUUUUGGGGUGCCACGAAUUGCACCCAUAUAAGAUUGUGAACUCAAUUAGUAAAUGGUGUGUGUCUUCUGACUGGUCCACCAGCUAGCCUUUCCCCAAUCUGUCUUCCUCUCCCUGAACCUCCAUAUUCCCUGACUUACAACAUUAUUGAAAUUAGGCCAAUUAAUAACCCCAAAAUGACCUCUAAGUGUUGAAGUGAAAGUAUCAGUCACAUGUCUCUCACUUUAAAUCAAAAGCUAGAAAUGAUUAAUUAAGCUUAGUGAGGAAGGCACGUCGAAAGCUGAGAUAGACCAAAAGCUGGGCCUCUCGCACCGAGCAGUUAGCCAGGUUGUGAAUGCAAAGGAAAAGUUCUUGAAGGAAAUUAAAAGUGCUUUCCGGUGAACACACGAAUGAUAAGAAAGCAAAGCAGCCCUGUUGCUGUUACUGAGAAAAUGUGGGUGGCCUGCAUAGAAGAUCAAACCAGCCACAACAUUCUGUUAAACCAAAGCCUAAUCCAGCACUCCCUGACUCUCUUCAAUUCUGUGAAGGCUGAGAAGGUGAGGAAGCUGCAGGAGAAAAGUCUGAGGCUGGCAGAGGUUGGUUGACGAGGUCUGAGGACAGAAGCUGUCUCCGUGACAUCAAGGUGCCAGGCGAAGCAGCAGGAGCCGAUGUGGAAGCUGCCGCAGGUUCUCCAGAAGAUCCGGCUCAGGUGAUUCAUGAGGACGGCGACACUGAACAACAGGUUUACGACGUAGUGAAGCAGCCUCUGUUGGAAGAAGAUGCCACCUAGGACUUUCACAGCUACAGAGGCAAAGUCAAUGCCUGGCUUCAAAGCUUCAAAGGACAGGCAGCUGGUGACUUCAAGUGAAGCCAGUGCUCAUUUACUAUUCUGGAAGGCCGAGGGCCCAUAAGGAUGAUGCUAAAUCCAUCCACUCUGCCUGUGCUCGGUACAUGGAACAACAAAGCCUGAACGACUACACUUCUGCUCACUGAGUGUUUUAAGUCCACUGCUCGCUGACAGUGCACGGGUCACCCAUGAGCGCUGAUGGAGAUGGACAACGAGGUGAACGUGGUCUUUGUGCUUGCUCACACAGCAUCCAUUCUGCAGCCCAUGGGUCAAGGAGUCAUUUCAACUUUCAAGUCUUAUUAUUUAAGAAAUGCAUGUUGUAAGGCUAUGGCUGCCGCAGACAGGGAUUCCUCUGAUGGAUCUGGGCAAAGUAAAUUGAAACCUUCUGGAAAGGAGUCGCCAUUCUAGGUGCCAUUAAGAUCAUUCGUGACUCACAGGAAGAGGUCAAAAUAGCAACAUGAACAGAAGUUUGGAAGAAUUCGAUCGCAGCCCCCAUGGAGGACCGUGAGGGCUUCUGGACUGUGGUGGCGGAGGUGUCUGUGAGUGUGUGUCGGGGGGAACGGCGAGAGAGCCGGGACUGGAAGAGGAGCCUGGAUAUGGCACUGAAUUGCCGCCGUCUCGUGAGCAGACUUGAACGGAUGAGGAGUUACUCCUUCUGGAUGAGCAAAGACUAUGGUUUCUUGAGGUGGGAGCUACUCCUGGUGGAGAUGCUGUGAAGAUGCUUGAAAUGACAACAGAGGGGUCAGAACAUGACAUAAACUCAAUCGAUAGAGCAGCGGCAGGGUUUGAGAGGCUUGACUCCAAUUUUGAAAGAAGUUUUGUUGUGAGUAAAGUGCUAUGAAACAGCAUCGCGGGCUGCAGGGAAAUCGGAAGACUCGAUCAACACGGCAAAUUUCAUUGUAUUAUUUUCAGGAAUUGCCGCAGCCACCCCGACCUUCAGCAACCACCGCCCUGAUCAGUCGGCAGCCACCGACAUAGGGACAACAAGACCCUCCACCGGCAAAAAGAUUAUGACUCGCUGGAAGCGUGGAUGAUGGUUAGCAUUUUUUAGCAAUAAGGUAUUUUUUAAUGAAUACAUCGUUUUGGACAUAAUGCUAUUGCACAUUUCAAUAGACUACAGUAUAGUGUAGACAUAACUUUGGAUGCACUGGGAAACCAAAUAAUUCAUUUGACUCGCUUUAUUGUGAUCGUCGCUUUAUCCGGGUGGUCUGGAAGCGAACCUGCAGUAUCUCCAAGGAAUGCCUGCUCAAGUUUGCAUGUGCACUGCGAGUUGUUUUAGGGUGGCAUUCUUUUCAAUUCGUGGCACUUUGUCCUCCUAACAGCGUUGCACGUUUUACUUGCAUUUAUUAUAUUGUAAGAUGCAGUCAUGUCGGAUGUGUGCAUUUACUUAUGUGUAACUAUUAAGGCUACAAGGUGUGUAUCUUCCGUUUUUAUAUUUUUGUAUAGAUUUAUAUGAGCAUGAAGAACCUUUUGAAAUGUACUCAUUAGUUGGAUUACCCAAGUCACCUGAAUGGGAGGAGGCCACCAUGAAAUGAGGAGGAAUACAAAGGGGGAAGAUGAAAAAGCCCACUUCUAGGGAUGGCACUGGUGGGUUCGGUGCUCCCUCUUACCCAGUUAGCGCUUUCCAGGAUUAGACGACCAUAAACUUCUAAAGUGCCCACUCUUUUCAACAUAAUUUUGUGGCUGUGUGAGUAUUUAUGUUAUUUCUAGGCAGAUGUUUCCAAGUAAGGAGAGUGAGGGGAAGUGGUAUCCACAUGCAGCCCUGUGUUUGGGUGCUCCCAAACACACUGAGGGCAGUCAGGCGUGGGCCGCCUUCUCACCUAUGGAUGGGUGGGGCUGGGGGAUGGGUUAGAUCUGAGCGGCAAAUAGGUUCUAUGUCAUGUGUCACUGCAGGUCACAGGAGUAACCCUUCAGCCCCAUUUUCCUUCUCCAGUCCUUCCAGCAUAUCUAUAUUCCAGUCAUGGCGGGAUAAUGUUAUAGAAGUCAUGCUUGGGGCUCUUGGUUUUUUCCAUCUCAAAGGUCUGUGUGUCCCCAGACUGGUAUGGCUGGACCCAAACUGGAAUCGCCUGAACGUCCGGGCACUUUCAGGGUCUCGGUGUUCUAGUAGAGUUCUGUGGGGGCACAACCCUCACAGCCUUGCUGUUUGUCUCUCUCCCACUUCCUUCCAGAGGCCCCGCCCUGUCCCUUCCCUUUCCUGAAAGACGCGAGUGUUUCCUGCCUCUGCUGUCCCUUCUGUGUGGGGCACUGUAUCUUCAGGAGGAGCCAGGAAUUUUUGUCAGUCAAGGUUCAGCUCACCUGUCCCUUUCCCAAGAGGACUUGAGCGCCCAUCCAAAGGAUUAGCCUCAUCAGUGUUUGUCAUGCUUACUCAUUUAAGGUAAGCUGCGUCACAGGACGAAGCCGAUCCAGUCCAAAUGGCAC